UAAAAUGGGAGGUAAAUUUCUCCUAAGGCUAAAUAACGGCGAGAGACCGAUAGCGAACAAGUACCGUGAGGGAAAGAUGAAAAGAACUUUGAAAAGAGAGUUAAAUAGUACGUGAAAUUGUUGAAAGGGAAACGAUUAAGGUCAGUCAUACUGAUGGGAAAUCAACUUCUCGAGCGUGGUUUAGUGGGAUCAAAGUGCCUUUGUUCUCGCGAUAUCUGCGUUCUUUUGGUGCACUUUCUUUAUUGUAGGUUAGCAUCGGUUUUGAUCGUCAUAAAAUGACUGGAGGAAUGUGGCUUCGACUUCGGUUGAAGUGUUAUAAACUCUGGUAGAUGUAAUGGUUGAGACCGAGGAUUGCAACGGAUGCCCUUAAGGGCUAUCCGCCUGGCCUCUAAUUGUCACUUUGGCUUCGAAAGCUUGCUUACGAUGUUAAAGUGUGCGGUCAAUAGGUUAGAUCGGAUUAAA
RNAcentral lists this ribosomal RNA (462 nucleotides) under uncultured Glomeraceae. RNAcentral's name for it is "eukaryotic LSU rRNA". It matches the Rfam family "Eukaryotic large subunit ribosomal RNA", at positions 288 to 621 of the family's 3401-position model. Lineage: Eukaryota; Fungi; Glomeromycota; Glomeromycetes; Glomerales; Glomeraceae. The record is from RNAcentral.